GUGCCUCGACUCGCUCCAACCCAUGUGACGUUACCAAACUGUUGCCUCGGCGGGGUCACGCCCCGGGUGCGUCGCAGCCCCGGAACCAGGCGCCCGCCGGAGGAACCAACCAAACUCUUUCUGUAGUCCCCUCGCGGACGUAUUUCUUACAGCUCUGAGCAAAAAUUCAAAAUGAAUCAAAACUUUCAACAACGGAUCUCUUGGUUCUGGCAUCGAUGAAGAACGCAGCGAAAUGCGAUAAGUAAUGUGAAUUGCAGAAUUCAGUGAAUCAUCGAAUCUUUGAACGCACAUUGCGCCCGCCAGUAUUCUGGCGGGCAUGCCUGUCCGAGCGUCAUUUCAACCCUCGAACCCCUCCGGGGGAUCGGCGUUGGGGAUCGGGACCCCUCACACGGGUGCCGGCCCCGAAAUACAGUGGCGGUCUCGCCGCAGCCUCUCCUGCGCAGUAGUUUGCACAACUCGCACCGGGAGCGCGGCGCGUCCACGUCCGUAAAACACCCAACUUUCUGAAAUGUUGACCUCGGAUCAGGUAGGAAUACCCGCUGAACUUAAGCAUAUCAAUAGGCCGGAGGAA
This 571-nucleotide ribosomal RNA is filed under the name Trichoderma asperellum. RNAcentral describes it as "eukaryotic LSU rRNA". The stretch from base 181 to 334 matches the Rfam family "5.8S ribosomal RNA". Lineage: Eukaryota; Fungi; Ascomycota; Sordariomycetes; Hypocreales; Hypocreaceae. The record is from RNAcentral.